RNAcentral lists this ribosomal RNA (565 nucleotides) under Mycobacterium shottsii. Its description in RNAcentral is "bacterial SSU rRNA". It matches the Rfam family "Bacterial small subunit ribosomal RNA", at positions 28 to 596 of the family's 1533-position model. The record is from RNAcentral. Lineage: Bacteria; Bacillati; Actinomycetota; Actinomycetes; Mycobacteriales; Mycobacteriaceae.
GACGAACGCUGGCGGCGUGCUUAACACAUGCAAGUCGAACGGAAAGGUCUCCUCGGAGAUACUCGAGUGGCGAACGGGUGAGUAACACGUGGGCGAUCUGCCCUGCACUUCGGGAUAAGCCUGGGAAACUGGGUCUAAUACCGGAUAGGACCACGGGAUUCAUGUCCUGUGGUGGAAAGCUUUUGCGGUGUGGGAUGAGCCCGCGGCCUAUCAGCUUGUUGGUGGGGUAACGGCCUACCAAGGCGACGACGGGUAGCCGGCCUGAGAGGGUGUCCGGCCACACUGGGACUGAGAUACGGCCCAGACUCCUACGGGAGGCAGCAGUGGGGAAUAUUGCACAAUGGGCGCAAGCCUGAUGCAGCGACGCCGCGUGGGGGAUGACGGCCUUCGGGUUGUAAACCUCUUUCACCAUCGACGAAGGUUCGGGUUUUCUCGGAUUGACGGUAGGUGGAGAAGAAGCACCGGCCAACUACGUGCCAGCAGCCGCGGUAAUACGUAGGGUGCGAGCGUUGUCCGGAAUUACUGGGCGUAAAGAGCUCGUAGGUGGUUUGUCGCGUUGUUCGUG